Molecule: ribosomal RNA, 1346 nt
Filed under: uncultured bacterium
Lineage: Bacteria
Description: partial 16S ribosomal RNA
Rfam family: Bacterial small subunit ribosomal RNA
Source: RNAcentral
GACGAACGCUGGCGGCGUGCUUAACACAUGCAAGUCGAACGGAAAGGCCCUGCUUUUGUGGGGUGCUCGAGUGGCGAACGGGUGAGUAACACGUGAGUAACCUGCCCUUGACUUUGGGAUAACUUCAGGAAACUGGGGCUAAUACCGGAUAGGAGCUCCUGCUGCAUGGUGGGGGUUGGAAAGUUUCGGCGGUUGGGGAUGGACUCGCGGCUUAUCAGCUUGUUGGUGGGGUAGUGGCUUACCAAGGCUUUGACGGGUAGCCGGCCUGAGAGGGUGACCGGCCACAUUGGGACUGAGAUACGGCCCAGACUCCUACGGGAGGCAGCAGUGGGGAAUAUUGCACAAUGGGCGGAAGCCUGAUGCAGCAACGCCGCGUGCGGGAUGACGGCCUUCGGGUUGUAAACCGCUUUCGCCUGUGACGAAGCGUGAGUGACGGUAAUGGGUAAAGAAGCACCGGCUAACUACGUGCCAGCAGCCGCGGUGAUACGUAGGGUGCGAGCGUUGUCCGGAUUUAUUGGGCGUAAAGGGCUCGUAGGUGGUUGAUCGCGUCGGAAGUGUAAUCUUGGGGCUUAACCCUGAGCGUGCUUUCGAUACGGGUUGACUUGAGGAAGGUAGGGGAGAAUGGAAUUCCUAGUGGAGCGGUGGAAUGCGCAGAUAUCAGGAGGAACACCAGUGGCGAAGGCGGUUCUCUGGGCCUUUCCUGACGCUGAGGAGCGAAAGCGUGGGGAGCGAACAGGCUUAGAUACCCUGGUAGUCCACGCUGUAAACGGUGGGUACUAGGUGUGGGGUCCAUUCCACGGGUUCCGUGCCGUAGCUAACGCUUUAAGUACCCCGCCUGGGGAGUACGGCCGCAAGGCUAAAACUCAAAGGAAUUGACGGGGCCCCGCACAAGCGGCGGAGCAUGCGGAUUAAUUCGAUGCAACGCGUAGAACCUUACCUGGGUUUGACAUGGAUCGGGAGUGCUCAGAGAUGGGUGUGCCUCUUUUGGGGUCGGUUCACAGGUGGUGCAUGGCUGUCGUCAGCUCGUGUCGUGAGAUGUUGGGUUAAGUCCCGCAACGAGCGCAACCCUUGUUCACUGUUGCCAGCACGUUAUGGUGGGGACUCAGUGGAGACCGCCGGGGUCAACUCGGAGGAAGGUGGGGAUGACGUCAAGUCAUCAUGCCCCUUAUGUCCAGGGCUUCACGCAUGCUACAAUGGCUGGUACAGAGAGUGGCGAGCCUGUGAGGGUGAGCGAAUCUCGGAAAGCCGGUCUCAGUUCGGAUUGGGGUCUGCAACUCGACCUCAUGAAGUCGGAGUCGCUAGUAAUCGCAGAUCAGCAACGCUGCGGUGAAUACGUUCCCGGGGCU